Molecule: non-coding RNA, 1394 nt
Organism: Podarcis lilfordi (Lilford's wall lizard)
Lineage: Eukaryota; Metazoa; Chordata; Lepidosauria; Squamata; Lacertidae
Source: the annotation of a GenBank genome assembly
GCGAGCCAGAGUCUAGUGAGUGAGACUGUCCCUGGCUAUAAUACUGGUUUUAGCCCUCUCACUGGUCAGAGGUGAAGUUGUUAUUUACAACUUUAAAAAGAGAUACAACAAAUGUUCACUUGUGAUCUCCCUAGUUGGCAAGUUUAAAUAUUGCUUAUAGAUAGAUAGAUAGAUAGAUAGAUAGACAGAUAGAUAGAAAUCUUAAUUCAGUAACUCCCUAAAAUUGUUAGGAGGGGCAAUACCCUUUAAAUGAAAGGGAAACUGAAAGUAAAUAGAAGACCAACAAAGAAUUAAUCCUAAUAAAACAGGGAGAGUAAAUUGUGGACAGAUGAUGGACUUUGAGAAAGCCCCCAAAAGAAAGCUUAGCCGAGAAAAAUUUAAACUGAAAACUCGUAGAAAUACCAAAAUGAAGAUUUUAAAGAGAAUCAAGAAAAGCAGAUACACCUGAUGACUAGAAAAGACAAAUGAAGGAAUGUGAGGGGCGAAAUCAAGUUUAUUUACCUUUCGACCAACUAGUCUUUGGAUGUAAAAAGGAACAAAGGAAAGGGUGGGUGGAUAUGAAGUCUGCUUCAAGCAGAGUGAAGAAUAAUUGCAGAAAAUAGAAGGCUUUUCUUUUAAAAGGCAACUGGAGAAGCCAUUUCAUAAAAAGAAGGCUGGUGUUUCUGUUGCCGAAGUUAUUAUUAUUAUUAUCAUCAUUAUUUAUUUAUUUUAUAUAGCGCCCUAUACCCGAAGGUCUGAGGGCAGUUCACAUAAAAUAUCCAAUACACAAAAUCAAAACAAAAACAACAACCCAAGAACGGGUUCCCAGAGCAUAGACAACAGGAGUCAGGCUAUCCCUGGUCCAGAUAGGGGCAUAGCUGGGUCACCAGCCGAAGCUGAUGGAAGGCUCACCGGGUCACUGUCUCUCGACAGAGGUACAGGGCGACCAAAGCAGUUUCAGUGCCAAAAGCAGGCCUAAACCCUGAUGGAAAAGAAUCCACAAAACCAGCUUCUUCCAAGAGCACCUGGAUCUGGUCUGCGACCACUCGCUCCAGCCUCACUCCAGAAGUAAGAAAAACCAAGAUUGGGAAGAUUUUAACACAGGUAAGACUUAGAAGUGAGAAGGGUAGGGGGAUCCAGGGGGAAAGAAAGCUGUGCAUGUGAGAAAGAGCAAAGCAGAGGGGCAGAAGACAACAUAGCUCCUUUUAAUUUCAUUUUAGCUCAGGUUGCCUUGUUGACAAAAAUGCAUUGCAUUGCAUUUGUGAUAGCUUCUUGGGGGCUAUAGAAAAGCUGCUUCGCUAAUGGGCAGAACUUCAUUUAUUCAUAAUGUGUCUUCCAAGGAGUAGAAUAACAAACCCUCUUGAACAGCUGGCUUAAAAGUGGUGGCAUUUGGCAUAUGAAGCUAAGAAGAGGCA